UCGUAACAAGGUUUCCGUAGGUGAACCUGCGGAAGGAUCAUUACUGAUUUGCUUAAUUGCACCACAUGUGUUUUUCUUUGAAACAAACUUGCUUUGGCGGUGGGCCCAGCCUGCCGCCAGAGGUCUAAACUUACAACCAAUUUUUUAUCAACUUGUCACACCAGAUUAUUACUAAUAGUCAAAACUUUCAACAACGGAUCUCUUGGUUCUCGCAUCGAUGAAGAACGCAGCGAAAUGCGAUACGUAAUAUGAAUUGCAGAUAUUCGUGAAUCAUCGAAUCUUUGAACGCACAUUGCGCCCUCUGGUAUUCCGGAGGGCAUGCCUGUUUGAGCGUCGUUUCUCCCUCAAACCGCUGGGUUUGGUGUUGAGCAAUACGACUUGGGUUUGCUUGAAAGACGGUAGUGGUAAGGCGGGAUCGCUUUGACAAUGGCUUAGGUCUAACCAAAAACAUUGCUUGCGGCGGUAACGUCUACUACGUAUAUCUUCAAACUUUGACCUCAAAUCAGGUAGGACUACCCGCUGAACUUAAGCAUAUCA
Molecule: unclassified non-coding RNA, 537 nt
Filed under: Candida albicans
Lineage: Eukaryota; Fungi; Ascomycota; Pichiomycetes; Serinales; Debaryomycetaceae
Description: sequence contains 18S rRNA gene, ITS1, 5.8S rRNA gene, ITS2, 28S rRNA gene
Rfam family: 5.8S ribosomal RNA (bases 183-336)
Source: RNAcentral